This 471-nucleotide ribosomal RNA is filed under the name uncultured bacterium. RNAcentral describes it as "bacterial SSU rRNA". It matches the Rfam family "Bacterial small subunit ribosomal RNA", at positions 329 to 792 of the family's 1533-position model. The record is from RNAcentral.
AUCCAGACUCCUACGGGAGGCAGCAGUGGGGAAUAUUGCACAAUGGGCGCAAGCCUGAUGCAGCCAUGCCGCGUGUAUGAAGAAGGCCUUCGGGUUGUAAAGUACUUUCAGCGGGGAGGAAGGGGUUAAGGUUAAUAACCUUAGCCAUUGACGUUACCCGCAGAAGAAGCACCGGCUAACUCCGUGCCAGCAGCCGCGGUAAUACGGAGGGUGCAAGCGUUAAUCGGAAUUACUGGGCGUAAAGCGCACGCAGGCGGUUUGUUAAGUCAGAUGUGAAAUCCCCGGGCUCAACCUGGGAACUGCAUCUGAUACCGGCAAGCUUGAGUCUCGUAGAGGGGGGUAGAAUUCCAGGUGUAGCGGUGAAAUGCGUAGAGAUCUGGAGGAAUACCGGUGGCGAAGGCGGCCCCCUGGACGAAGACUGACGCUCAGGUGCGAAAGCGUGGGGAGCAAACAGGAUUAGAUACCCCUGUA